Molecule: ribosomal RNA, 497 nt
Filed under: uncultured bacterium
Lineage: Bacteria
Description: partial 16S ribosomal RNA
Rfam family: Bacterial small subunit ribosomal RNA
Source: RNAcentral
GACGAACGCUGGCGGCGUGCCUAAUACAUGCAAGUUGAGCGAUGAAGAUUGGUGCUUGCACCAAUUUGAAGAGCAGCGAACGGGUGAGUAACGCGUGGGGAAUCUGCCUUUGAGCGGGGGACAACAUUUGGAAACGAAUGCUAAUACCGCAUAAUAACUUUAAACAUAAGUUUUAAGUUUGAAAGAUGCAAUUGCAUCACUCAAAGAUGAUCCCGCGUUGUAUUAGCUAGUUGGUGAGGUAAAGGCUCACCAAGGCGAUGAUACAUAGCCGACCUGAGAGGGUGAUCGGCCACAUUGGGACUGAGACACGGCCCAAACUCCUACGGGAGGCAGCAGUAGGGAAUCUUCGGCAAUGGACGAGAGUCUGACCGAGCAACGCCGCGUGAGUGAAGAAGGUUUUCGGAUCGUAAAACUCUGUUGGUAGAGAAGAACGUUGGUGAGAGUGGAAAGCUCAUCAAGUGACGGUAACUACCCAGAAAGGGACGGCUAACUACGUG